UACGUAGGGUGCGAGCGUUAAUCGGAAUUACUGGGCGUAAAGCGUGCGCAGGCGGUUUUGUAAGCCAGAUGUGAAAGCCCCGGGCUUAACCUGGGAAUGGCAUUUGGGACUGCAAGGCUUGAGUGCGGCAGAGGAGACUGGAAUUCCUGGUGUAGCAGUGAAAUGCGUAGAUAUGUGGAGGAAUACCGAUGGCGAAGGCAGCCCCCUGGGCCAAGACUGACGCUCAUGCACGAAAGCGUGGGGAGCAAACAGG
Molecule: ribosomal RNA, 253 nt
Filed under: uncultured bacterium
Lineage: Bacteria
Description: partial 16S ribosomal RNA
Rfam family: Bacterial small subunit ribosomal RNA
Source: RNAcentral